GUGUCAGCCGCCGCGGUAAUACGGAGGAUGCGAGCGUUAUCCGGAUUUAUUGGGUUUAAAGGGUGCGUAGGCGGAUGAAUAAGUCAGUGGUGAAACCCUGCAGCUUAACUGUAGACUUGCCAUUGAUACUGUUUAUCUUGAGUUUGGUCAAGGCAGGCGGAAUGUGUAAUGUAGCGGUGAAAUGCUUAGAUAUUACACAGAACACCGAUUGCGAAGGCAGCUUGCUGGGCCGACGCUGACGCUGGUGGACGAAAGCGUGGGGAUCGAACAGGAUUAGAUACCCUGGUAGUCCAAGCCGUAAACGAUGAUCACUAGCUGUUGGCGAUACACAGUCAGCGGCAAAGCAAAAGCAUUAAGUGAUCCACCUGGGGAGUACGGCCGCAAGGCUGAAACUUAAAGGAAUUGACGGGG
RNAcentral lists this ribosomal RNA (411 nucleotides) under uncultured prokaryote. Its description in RNAcentral is "bacterial SSU rRNA". It matches the Rfam family "Bacterial small subunit ribosomal RNA", at positions 505 to 918 of the family's 1533-position model. The record is from RNAcentral.